This 484-nucleotide ribosomal RNA is filed under the name uncultured bacterium. RNAcentral's name for it is "bacterial SSU rRNA". It matches the Rfam family "Bacterial small subunit ribosomal RNA", at positions 28 to 525 of the family's 1533-position model. The record is from RNAcentral.
AAUGAACGUUGGCGGCGUGGAUUAGGCAUGCAAGUCGUGCGAGAAGUUUCCUGCUUGCAGGAAACGGACAGCGGCGAAAGGGAGAGUGACGCGUGGGUACCUGCCCUCGGGACCGGAAUAGCUGCGGGAAACUGCAGGUAAUGCCGGAUAAUGUCCCCGGACCAAAGGUGUUAGCUGCCCGAGGAUGGGCCCGCGUCCUAUUAGCUUGUUGGUGGGGUAAUGGCCUACCAAGGCUUCGAUGGGUACCGGGCGUGAGAGCGUGGCCCGGCUCACUGGGACUGAGACACUGCCCAGACACCUACGGGUGGCUGCAGUCGAGAAUCUUCGGCAAUGGGCGAAAGCCUGACCGAGCGACGCCGCGUGUGGGAUGAAGGCCUUCGGGUUGUAAACCGCUGUCAGAGGGAAGGAAUGCUAGGUAAUCCCUAGUUUUGACCUAUCCUCAGAGGAAGUCCGGGCUAAGUUCGUGCCAGCCGCCGCGGUAAUU